GACGAACGCUGGCGGCGUGCUUAACACAUGCAAGUCGAACGGAAAGGCCCUGCUUUUGUGGGGUGCUCGAGUGGCGAACGGGUGAGUAACACGUGAGUAACCUGCCCUUGACUUUGGGAUAACUUCAGGAAACUGGGGCUAAUACCGGAUAGGAGCUCCUGCUUCAUGGUGGGGGUUGGAAAGUUUCGGCGGUUGGGGAUGGACUCGCGGCUUAUCAGCUUGUUGGUGGGGUAGUGGCUUACCAAGGCUUUGACGGGUAGCCGGCCUGAGAGGGUGACCGGCCACAUUGGGACUGAGAUACGGCCCAGACUCCUACGGGAGGCAGAAGUGGGGAAUAUGGCACAGUGGGCGGAAGCAUGAUGCAGAAACGCCGCGUGAGGGAUAACGGCCUUCGGGUUGUAAACCGCCUUCGCCUGUGACGAAGCGUGAGUGACGGUAAAGGGUAAAGAAGCACCGGAUAAAUACGUG
Molecule: ribosomal RNA, 468 nt
Filed under: uncultured bacterium
Lineage: Bacteria
Description: partial 16S ribosomal RNA
Rfam family: Bacterial small subunit ribosomal RNA
Source: RNAcentral